This 519-nucleotide ribosomal RNA is filed under the name uncultured bacterium. RNAcentral's name for it is "bacterial SSU rRNA". It matches the Rfam family "Bacterial small subunit ribosomal RNA", at positions 991 to 1509 of the family's 1533-position model. The record is from RNAcentral.
GAGAAUUUAGCAGAGAUGCUUUAGUGGCCUUCGGGAACUCUGAGACAGGUGCUGCAUGGCUGUCGUCAGCUCGUGUUGUGAAAUGUUGGUUAAGUCCCGCAACGAGCGCAACCCUUAUCCUUUGUUGCCAGCACGUAAUGGUGGGAACUCAAAGGAGACUGCCGGUGAUAAACCGGAGGAAGGUGGGGAUGACGUCAAGUCAUCAUGGCCCUUACGAGUAGGGCUACACACGUGCUACAAUGGCGCAUACAAAGAGAAGCGACCUCGCGAGAGCAAGCGGACCUCAUAAAGUGCGUCGUAGUCCGGAUUGGAGUCUGCAACUCGACUCCAUGAAGUCGGAAUCGCUAGUAAUCGUAAAUCAGAAUGUUACGGUGAAUACGUUCCCGGGCCUUGUACACACCGCCCGUCACACCAUGGGAGUGGGUUGCAAAAGAAGUAGAUAGCUUAACCUUCGGGAGGGCGUUUACCACUUUGUGAUUCAUGACUGGGGUGAAGUCGUAACAAGGUAGGCGUAGUGCU